This 395-nucleotide unclassified non-coding RNA is filed under the name soil metagenome. Its description in RNAcentral is "partial contains 5.8S ribosomal RNA, internal transcribed spacer 2, and large subunit ribosomal RNA". The stretch from base 1 to 122 matches the Rfam family "5.8S ribosomal RNA", at positions 35 to 154 of the family's 154-position model. The record is from RNAcentral.
GAUGAAGAACGCAGCGAAAUGCGAUACUUUGUGUGAAUUGCAGAAUCCCGUGAACCAUCGAGUCUUUGAACGCAAGUUGCGCCCGAAGCCAUCAGGUUGAGGGCACGUCUGCCUUGGCGUCACAUAUCGUUGCCCAAUGCCUAUUGCAGUGCAAUAGGAAUUUCUAGGGCGAAUGAUGGCUUCCCGUGAGCGUUGUUGCCUCGCGGUUGGUUGAAAAUCGAGUCCUUGGUAGGGUGUGCCAUGGUAGAUGGUGGUCGAGUUAGAACGAUACCGAUCAUGUGCAUGCUCCCCAAAAUAUGGCCUCUAUGACCCACACGCGUCUUUUGACGCUCAUGACGAGACCUCAGGUCAGGCGGGGCUACCCGCUGAAUUUAAGCAUAUCAAUAAGCGGAGGA